CUAUAAAUAAAGCUCAACUCUUUACCUAAAAAAAUCAUGAAAUAAAACCUUUACUCCAACGUUGCAGUGAAAAAAGAAAAAAAAAGGAGCAACCCAUGUGCAGCUGGAAGCAAAAUCUUCAAGGGAGUAAAAUAAACCUUUUAAUUUUAGUCUUAUAUUUUAUCUUGAAUAUUUUUUUAUUUAUCUUUGAUGUAAUUAGAAAAAUUUAUAAGCUCUUUCUUUUGAUUAAUAUGAUGUUUGCUUUCAAGUUCUUGUACUCUAUGCUUAUGUAGUUA
This 275-nucleotide long non-coding RNA is filed under the name Elaeis guineensis (African oil palm). Its description in RNAcentral is "long non-coding RNA (EGUI_LNC029589)". Lineage: Eukaryota; Viridiplantae; Streptophyta; Magnoliopsida; Arecales; Arecaceae. The record is from RNAcentral.